GGGGUCGUGCCGAUGCUUCCUUCAUUUGUGCUGAACUUUCACUCACUCAGCAGGUGGAAAAAACAGAAUUAGUUCAAAAGGAGGAGAGAAAAACGGCUAGAAAAAUAGAAAUAUACGGACUGGAAUGUACGAGAGCAGGAGACGCUCUGAGAGAAGCAUCGUUGGUUUGGUUGUUUGGAGAAUUCCUGGUCUGCAGGCGAAACUAAAAAAUAAAUAAAAACAGGAGCUGCUGGACACUCUGGAGAUUAAGCUGCUGAAACACCAGGAGCUGCUGCUUUUAUUUUGGAAUGUGGUCGAGUUCUGGAGCAGCGGGAAGAUUCUGGGAACGCUGACCUCCUUCAUCAUCAUCAUCAUCAUCAUCAUCAUCAUCAGUUGGUCCUUUAAAUUAAAGAUGGACAUUUAAAAAAGACAAAGAGAAUCUCUGUCCUCCUGGAGACGUCAUGUGACCGGCAGGUGUGUUGUUGUUGUGUUGUUGUUGUGUGUUUGUGUAGCGGCAGCUAUGUUGUUGUUGUGUUGUUGUUGUUGUGUGUUUGUGUAGCGGCAGCUAUGUUGUUGUGUUGUUGUUGUGUGUUUGUGUAGCGGCAGGUGUGUUGUCAUGCAUUUUUGUUGUUUUGUUUGUUGUCGCGUUUUUGCAUGUUGUGCGUGCAUAUUGUGUGUCUGCAGGGGUGUUGUUGUGCGUUGUGUGUAUUUGCGUAUAGUGGCCCGUGUGUUGUGUGUUUCUGUGGCAGCAGAUGUGUUGUAUGUUUGAUGACAGCUGCGUUUUUUGUUGUUUUGUGUUUGUGUCGUUGUGUUUUUGCAUGUUGUUGUGUUUGUGUGUCUGAAGGUGUUGUUGUGUAUUGUUGUGUAUUGUUCAUUUAUGUGUUGUGUGUUGCACGUGUAUUGUGUUGUGUAUUUUGUAUAUUGUGUGUUUGCAGGUGUGUUGUGUAUUUAUGUGUGUGUUGUGUGUCUGCUGGUGUGUUAUUGUGUACUGAUGUAUUGUUGUGUUAUUGUUGUGUGUUGUGUUGUCUAUUGUGUAUUGAUGUGUUGUAUAUUGUGUAUUGUUGUCUAUUUUGUAUGUAUUGUGUAUUGAUGUGUGUUUUGUUGUGUAUUGUCUAUUGAUGUGUAUAGUUGUGUGUUGUUGGAUUGUCUAUUGUUGUGUAUUGUGUUGUUGUACAUUGUUAUUGUUGUUUUGUCUAUUGUGUGUAUUGUUAUUGUUGUGUAUUGUUGUAUUGUCUAUUGUUGUUGUGUAUUGUGUGCAUUGUGUUAUUGUUGUGUUGUUGUAUUGUCUAUUAUUGUGUGUUGUUGUGUAUUGUUGUGUGUUGUAUUGUCUAUUGUUGUGUAUUGUUAUGUGUUAUGUUGUCUAUUGUUGUGUGUAUUGUUAUUGUUGUGUGUUGUCUAUUGUUGUGUAUUGUUGUGUGUUGUAUUAUUGUUGUUGCUGUGUGUUGUGCAUCUGCUGAUGUGUUAAUGUGUAUUGAUGUAUUGUUGUGUGUUGUUAUUGUGUGUUGUUGUAUUGUCUAUUGUUGUGUGUAUUGUUGUGUGUUAUUGUUGUGUAUGGUCUAUUGGUGUUGUCUAUUGUUGUUGUGUAUUGUAUUAUUGUUGUUGUGUUGUUGUCUAUUGUGUGUAUUGUUAUUGUUGUGUGUUGUUGUAUUGUCUAUUGUUGUAUUGUUGUGUUAUUGUUGUGUGUUGUGCAUCUGCUGGUGUGUUAUUGUGUAUUGAUGUAUUGUGUGUUAUUGUGUUGUUGUUGUAUUGUCUAUUGUGUGUAUUGUGUUAUUGUGUGUUGUGCAUCUGCUGGUGUGUUAUUGUGUGUUAUUGUUGUGUUGUUGUUGUAUUGUCUAUUGUUGUGUAUUGUUGUGUUAUAGUUGUGUGUUGUGCGUCUCCAGAUGUUCCAGCUGUGUGUGUCUGCAUCGUUCUGUCAGAUCCGAGUCGUUUGGGAAAAGAAUCCAGACGGAGUUUUAUUUUGACAGAAACGACUCAAACCUGUGAAGCAGAAACUCUGCGUCUCCUGACGCGACACGCGUGUUAAAAAAGACACGGGAUGACGAGCGUGAAGCGUGACGAACACCAGACUGAUGAUGGAUCAGAAAAUAAAACAAACAAAACAACAAACAGCAGAAACGGUUUCAGUUUGAACGUUUCAUGAUCAGAAUUUAUUACAGAAUAACGAGUGGAAACGACUCUGGAGCUUUAAUUUAACCCAAACUGAAGAUAUUAAAGCUGAAUUAUUGAUUAUUAACGAUCAAUUAACUUCAAACAAUUAACUCAUGUCUGCUGCAUUUUAAAGAAUUAUUUAAAUUUAACUCCAUUUAAACAAAAACAAGUGAAGAAUUCCAUCUAUGAAGCAUCAAAACAACAGAAAACUGUUAAAAUUAGACAAACAGGAUCCAUUAAUCAGUUAAAUGCAGAUAAAUACUGUAAAGUUCUGAUCUGUAAACAGAUUUAUUUCCAUCUGUAAACAG
Molecule: long non-coding RNA, 2435 nt
Organism: Amphiprion ocellaris (clown anemonefish)
Lineage: Eukaryota; Metazoa; Chordata; Actinopteri; Pomacentridae
Source: Ensembl